GACGAAGGGGGCUAGCGUUGUUCGGAAUUACUGGGCGUAAAGCGCGUGUAGGCGGUUGUUCAAGUCAGGUGUGAAAGCCUUGAGCUCAACUCAAGAAAUGCACUUGAUACUGGAUGACUAGAGGACCGGAGAGGAUAGUGGAAUUCCCAGUGUAGUGGUGAAAUACGUAGAGAUUGGGAAGAACACCAGUGGCGAAGGCGGCUAUCUGGACGGUUUCUGACGCUAAGACGCGAAAGCGUGGGGAGCAAACAGG
RNAcentral lists this ribosomal RNA (253 nucleotides) under uncultured bacterium. Its description in RNAcentral is "partial 16S ribosomal RNA". It matches the Rfam family "Bacterial small subunit ribosomal RNA", at positions 524 to 776 of the family's 1533-position model. RNAcentral also lists the same sequence under 2 other names. The record is from RNAcentral.